This 285-nucleotide ribosomal RNA is filed under the name uncultured bacterium. Its description in RNAcentral is "partial 16S ribosomal RNA". It matches the Rfam family "Bacterial small subunit ribosomal RNA", at positions 28 to 310 of the family's 1533-position model. The record is from RNAcentral.
GACGAACGCUGGCGGCGUGCUUAACACAUGCAAGUCGAGCGGUAAGGCCCUUUCGGGGGUACGACGAGCGGCGAACGGGUGAGUAACACGUAGGUGACCUGCCCUGAAGUGCGGAAUAACAGUCCGAAAGGAUUGCUAAUACCGCAUGUGGUCCCGGGCGUUAGAGAACCGGGUCUAAAGACAGUAAUGCGCUUCAGGAGGGGCCUGCGGUCCAUCAGCUAGUUGGUAGGGUAAUGGCCUACCAAGGCAACGACGGAUAGGGGACCGUGAGAGGGUGGGCCCCCA